CUGGGGAUACAUUUUUGGUUGUCCGGUGGUAUUAUCAAACAGAUGCAUUUCUGGUAGGAAGGAGUUGGAUGAUAUUUGGGAGCCACCCCUCCCCAGCAAGCGCCCCCGCCAGUCAACAUCUUCACCCCCACUGCUGUCUCAAUCACCCCAUCUGAUAGUUCUACAUCUCCCACUUGACAAAGGCCCCUCUCCUCUUCAACCACAUCCACUGCAGGCCCUGGCAACACUCCCCUCUUUGCAAGUUAAUCUGAAGGUGCGGGGACAGGGAGGAGAUCUAGGCCUCAACAGAGGGAGAAGCAGGAGGAGAGGCAGUGGAAGUAUCACAACAGAGGGAGAUGAAACUGAGGACAGGUGGCAUACAUCCUUGAAGAUGAUGAGGAGCCAGAACAAUUUUGGUGUAAAUCCAAACAACCUGAAGGCCCACAGUUGGUUAGUGAUGAAACAUACACCCCCUUACAGCUGUUUGAGCUCUACUUUCCAUCCUCUGUACUGAGAACACUAAUUAGUAAUACCAACAAGUAUGGGGACAAGAAGCAGCAGGGAGGAAGGCAGAGACCAUGGGUGACAUGCUCCACUACAUUUCCUUGGUGAUUUACAUGGAACUGGUAAAGGUAUAAAGACUAGCUGACAACUGGAGCAAGUCCCUACUCUAUCGGUUCGAGUUCCUCACCUCCAUCAUGAGUGCAAACCAAUUCUUGGCCAUCAACUGUACUCUUCACAUGAGUGACCCACAAAAGGAUCAGUAAAAUGACCAGAAGAAGGGGACUGCAGGGUAUGAUCGUCUUGCAAGAGUCAAGCCCCUUUAUCAUGACAUGGUGGAGGCAUACAACAUUUACUUCCAACCGGCUCAAAAUCUAUCUAUCUUUAGAUGAGAGCAUGGUUGCCUCAAAUGUACGAAUUGGCUUGAAGCAAUAUAUUAAAAAUAAGCCGGCCAAAUGGGGCUACAAGCUCUUUGUGCCGAUUCAGCCUCUGCCUACACAUGGAUCUUUUUUAUCUAUGAAGGCAAGGCCCACCCACUUGGAAGAGCCUUAGUUAUGACUCUGUCAUGCAGCUGAUGGACUUCCCCUUACUUGGCAGUGGGUACAUAGACCACUUUUUUUAAAUAGGGGCUUUGUGCACCAUUCAUCCUAACUGAAUCGAUUUCCCCAAGACCAAAGUAAACGACAUGACAAAGACAGCGGAGAGGGGGACCAUACGUUGGAUCAGGACUAACAAGCUGCUUUUUGUGAAAUGGAAGGACACUAGGGAAGUAACCAUGCUCACAACACAGCAUAAGGCAUUCAAUAACGACCACGUCUCUAGGAGGGGGAAAAAUGCCUUUGGGGCAUGGGUGAGGACGAAUGUCCCUAUUCCUGUUUCUGUGAAGGACUACAAUGCCAGCAUUGGGGGGUGUCGACCUAUCUGAUGCUCUGAUAGGCUACUACCAGGUCCUCCAUCAGACCAGGAAGUGGUAUAAGACUUUUUCACCACUUUGUGGACAUUGCUACAGUAAUUGCUUUCAUUCUCCGCAAACAGAUGGCCAAAGCAAAAGGUCAAACCCCUCUCUCUCAGUUGGCCUUCAGAGAGCAGCUGGUGUUGGGAAUGGCUGAAUUGGGGGCCCAAAGCAACCUCACAACAAUCACAAGACUCCCCACUCAAGUAGAAGAGUGUCACCAGCACCAGUAGGGAGCAGAUGAUGACAGCCAGCACGCCCGUGGCGAUGGUGCCAGCUAUGAGACCCACACUCUGGGGCUGGGCUGAAGGGCCAGGGGAGAAAGAGAGCGAG
Oncorhynchus keta (chum salmon) is the source of this 1765-nucleotide long non-coding RNA. RefSeq lists it as uncharacterized. Lineage: Eukaryota; Metazoa; Chordata; Actinopteri; Salmoniformes; Salmonidae. The transcript has 3 exons. The record is from RefSeq and is a predicted model, not a curated record.